GUGCGUAACGCGUAUACAAUCUGCCUUUCACUGGGGGAUAGCCCGAAGAAAUUUGGAUUAAUACCCCAUAGUAUAGUAGUGUGGCAUCACACAACUAUUAAAGCUUAGGUGGUGAAAGAUGAGUAUGCGUUCUAUUAGCUAGUUGGAGAGGUAACGGCUCCCCAAGGCGAUGAUAGAUAGGGGUUCUGAGAGGGAUGUCCCCCACACUGGUACUGAGAUACGGACCAGACUCCUACGGGAGGCAGCAGUGAGGAAUAUUGGACAAUGGUCGGAAGACUGAUCCAGCCAUGCCGCGUGCAGGAUGACGGUCCUUAUGGRUUGUAAACUGCU
This 330-nucleotide ribosomal RNA is filed under the name Capnocytophaga sp. AHN9830. RNAcentral describes it as "bacterial SSU rRNA". It matches the Rfam family "Bacterial small subunit ribosomal RNA", at positions 106 to 434 of the family's 1533-position model. Lineage: Bacteria; Pseudomonadati; Bacteroidota; Flavobacteriia; Flavobacteriales; Flavobacteriaceae. The record is from RNAcentral.